RNAcentral lists this ribosomal RNA (814 nucleotides) under uncultured bacterium. RNAcentral's name for it is "bacterial SSU rRNA". It matches the Rfam family "Bacterial small subunit ribosomal RNA", at positions 105 to 898 of the family's 1533-position model. The record is from RNAcentral.
GGUGCGUAACACCUGGGUAAUUUGCCGCGAAGUUGGGGAUAACUCGCUGAAAGGCGAGCUAAUACCGAAUGUGACUACUGGGGGGCAUCCCUCGGUUUUCAAAGUUGGGGAUCGUAAGACCUGACGCUUCGCGAUAAGCCCGCGGCCUAUCAGCUAGUUGGUGAGGUAACGGCCCACCAAGGCUAAGACGGGUAGCUGGUCUGAGAGGACGACCAGUCACACUGGAACUGAGACACGGUCCAGACACCUACGGGUGGCAGCAGUCGAGAAUUUUUCUCAAUGGGCGAAAGCCUGAAGGAGCGACGCCGCGUGGGGGAUGAAGGGCUUCGGUCCGUAAACCCCUGUCAUUUGCGAACAAACCUUUCGAUCUAACACAUCGAGAGCUGAUUGUAGCGAAAGAGGAAGGGACGGCUAACUCUGUGCCAGCAGCCGCGGUAAUACAGAGGUCCCAAGCGUUGUUCGGAUUCACUGGGCGUAAAGGGUGCGUAGGUGGUCGGGUAAGUCUGAUGUGAAAUCUCCGAGCUUAACUCGGAAACUGCAUUGGAAACUACUUGACUAGAGGGUUGGAGGGGGGACUGGAAUACUUGGUGUAGCAGUGAAAUGCGUAGAUAUCAAGUGGAACACCAGUGGCGAAGGCGAGUCCCUGGACAACUCCUGACACUGAGGCACGAAAGCUAGGGGAGCAAACAGGAUUAGAUACCCUGGUAGUCCUAGCUGUAAACGGUGCAUAUUUGCUGUAAAAGGAAUCGACCCCUUUUGUGGCGUAGCUAACGCGAUAAAUAUGCCGCCUGGGAGGUACGGGUCGCAGAUUAAA